CCGGCGUCCCCGGGGGACCCCCGCGCCCCACGGAGCUGCCCCCGGGGAAGCGGCGGCUGCACCUGGCGGAGCCGACAGCAGGGAACAAAAACUUGGGGGUUUAUUUCUUUUUUUUUUUUUUCCCCCUCGUUUAGGUUCCGUAUCGGAGCAGGCUGGAAGGCUGCCGUAUACUCAGGCGUGUAAGAAGAUUAUGUCAGCAGCGGGCAGAGGACUACUGGAAGGAAAGUCCAGGAGGGAUUUGUCCAAGUGGAUUGCAAGUCAUUACAAUCGUUUGCAUGAGAGAAGCCUGUUCAUCUGGAAUAGACGAGCAUAUUGGAGCGCCUCCAUCCCUGAAGCCAAACUAAGGCAUAACUGUGAGAAGUGGAAAUGUGGAAAAGUGGAAAUGGUAUCUUCUUCCAAGCUAAAUACUUCCAAGUACUGAACUUCACAGAAAAUAAGGUC
This 441-nucleotide long non-coding RNA is filed under the name Struthio camelus australis. Its description in RNAcentral is "lncRNA (ENSSCUG00000003508.1)". The record is from RNAcentral. Lineage: Eukaryota; Metazoa; Chordata; Aves; Struthioniformes; Struthionidae.